RNAcentral lists this ribosomal RNA (266 nucleotides) under uncultured bacterium. RNAcentral's name for it is "partial 16S ribosomal RNA". The record is from RNAcentral.
CUGCUGCCUCCCGUAGGAGUCUGGUCCGUGUCUCAGUACCAGUGUGGGGGACCUUCCUCUCAGAACCCCUAGACAUCGUCGCCUUGGUGGGCCGUUACCCCGCCAACUAGCUAAUGUCACGCAUGCCCAUCCGUCUCCGGAGUCGCCUCCUUUGGCCGAAAGAAGAUGCCUCCCCUCGGCCACAUGCGGUAUUAGGCCGGAUUUCUCCGGGUUAUCCCGCUGAAACGGGCAGGUUGCAUACGCGUUACUCACCCGUGCGCCGGUCG